Molecule: ribosomal RNA, 253 nt
Filed under: uncultured bacterium
Lineage: Bacteria
Description: partial 16S ribosomal RNA
Rfam family: Bacterial small subunit ribosomal RNA
Source: RNAcentral
GACAGAGGGUGCGAGCGUUGUUCGGAAUUACUGGGCGUAAAGCGCAUGUAGGCGGCAGCGCAAGUCGGGCGUGAAAUCCCACGGCUCAACCGUGGAAGUGCACUCGAAACUGCGCAGCUAGAGUACUGGAGAGGUUGGUGGAAUUCUCGGUGUAGAGGUGAAAUUCGUAGAUAUCGAGAGGAACACCGGUGGCGAAGGCGGCCAACUGGACAGAUACUGACGCUGAGACUCGAAAGCGUGGGGAGCAAACAGG